This is a long non-coding RNA of Triticum aestivum (bread wheat), 2203 nucleotides long. RefSeq lists it as uncharacterized. The record is from RefSeq and is a predicted model, not a curated record. NCBI's taxonomy places the organism in Eukaryota, Viridiplantae, Streptophyta, Magnoliopsida, Poales, Poaceae. The transcript is spliced from 4 exons.
GUUGGGAAUGGGUAAAUCUUGCUAAGCAACUACGAGAGCGCAACAGAACUAAGCUGAUGGGGAUGCGAGAAACUACCAAAGACGACACCUGGUCGACAAAGAUGGAUGCGAGCAUCUGUCAGUGGUAGAAGAGAUGAAUCACAAAAGUAAAGCUUACAGUCAAAAAUAUGUGAAGCUCGGGAGGGCAUGGUGCUCAAAUACGUGUACCUCGAAACUUAAUUUUGUUCGCCUGCAUCAAUUAUCCAGUUCUGGUCUAACUUCAUUUUGCAAGUUUAAUUGGAAGAGGGAAGGGAGGGAGGGAGAGAGAGAAUGUUGCAUUGCAGCGAGAGAGGCAAAGGGAGGGAGAAGUUAAACAAUGUGAGAUGUAAAUCAAGUGCAUGGUUAAAGUCUGGGUGGAGAUGGAAGGUGUGAUUGCGAGCUAGAUGCACCAUUGAAAAAUGUGGUGAGCCUGGGCUCGGGAGGAAGAGAGGCAAAGAUAAUGGGUGGAGGAAGAAAAGGAAAAGAGUAAUUUAACGGUAAAAAAGACAACAUUCGCUGAUGUACAUGAGGAAACUAAAGGUACUCCACUUGUUCUAAAUUAAUGUUUUCUUUCUCACGAAUCAAUGUGGAACUGUGUACUGACAUUCCUCCUUAUCUGGAAUCUCCAUUUGCACCAUCUAGAAGAAAAUUUAAGGAAGAGACUAAAAGGCACAUACAUGAGUAGCCUCAUUCUUGUCUUAGAAAGUUGGUUCUUAUAUGUCUUAGAAAGUUGGUUCUUAUAUAUAUGUCUUGGAUUAAAAAGAGCAUGAGAACUUGCCAAGCCAUCUGAAAAUGCCAUCAUAGCCAAAACUUUUUUUAGGUUGCUGACAACAUUGAGCUGGACUUGCUUUUUUUGCUACUAUUGCUGAAGACAAACUCCAAAAAAGGGAGUGAAAGCAGAAAGAAGAGAGGUUGCACAAGAUGAGUAAUGAUGGGUAGCGAUAGAGGCUGAAGCUGUGAUGAUGAUGCGGAUAUGACCAUUAGUAUGUUUCCCAUCAAGGAAACCUACAAUUUCUAUUAUGAUACAAAUUUUCUAUUAUGAGGUGUGUUUCUCAUAAAGAAUGUGAUUUCUGCAUGAUAGUUUUCUAAAAACGUGAAGGUUUUAUGCAAAGACUGACAUUUUAGAAGGAUGUAGUAAAAUAUAAACCUUGGUAGGUACUCCUGAAGUUGAAGCUGCUCAAGCAAUAGUAAUUUUUUCCGAGCACUGAACUAUUGUUUCUGGUUUUGCUUAUUGUUAUUCCUCGUAGGAUGUUCAAGAGGAACACCCUUUAAAUUUUGUACUUGUCAUAGCUUCAGGUCCACUUGUGAGCCCUUAUGCAAUUUUGCUUAAGUUAGAUUAGGAUGGGUUCCUUUGACCUUAUGGUCAUGUAUAUAACAACGAGGACCUAUUACGUAUCCUUUUUCCCCUCAGAAAUCUUUAGGUACAAUUGCAUGGUUACGUGCUUCGAAUUAAAAGCGUGUAUGGCAGGUGGUGGAAGGAAAGAUUGCAAGUCAGAUGCACCACUGGUAUACAGUAGACACAAAUUCGUGUUAAACCGUUGAAAUGUUUAUGACCCGUUCCAAUGCACGGGCAGUCAACUAAUUCGGUACGCCAUCAUCUCUCGAGGUAGUGAUAGCCGUCUCAUUUUUUAAAUCAGAUGUACAAUAUGCCAUCAUCUUUUGGAGUAUGUGGGAAAGUUUAGAAGAGAUGCAAGAAAUGGUGCAGUGAGAUGACACACCUUGUCAGAGAUAAUAAAAAUUGAUUGCUUUGGAUGAUGCUUUGAAAAUGUCGAUCGAGAAAGUCACAGAUGUAACUAUGAGCUACUGGACUCAAAAGUCAUCCAGUUUUACACGAUGAGAUGCAUACAAAUAAUUAUUCUUCCUUGUAUAUAUGUUGCACAUGAUAAUACUUCUUUUGUGGGGUGUGAGAGAGAUGGAGAUAGAUUACGUUGAUGUUCAAAAAGAAUCCUUCGACAAGGGCCGGCUCAAUUUCAUUGGAAGGAGCCAAAACUACACCAAGGUUUAUACAACAACAUAAUCUAUCUCCAUUGCUAAAAACCUAAAAAGCCCGUGGCAACGCACGAGCAUAUUACUGGAGGUCAACACGAGAUCAGAAAUUUUGCGAGAAGGAAACUAUCCAGACGUUGGCAAUAUUUUUUGAUAACUGGCGUGGGAUGGACAACGACAUCUCAUCGUCCAACAUGGU